AAGGAUAUUGUAGUUUAUCUUAGUAGGAAAUAGUGUGAUGUUUUCUCUAUUCAAAUUCUAACAUUUCGAACCUCAAACAGGUGGGUUCGUUUGGGAAGGAUCUUGAGCUGUUAGACUCACCUGGAAUUUUGCCAAUGAGAAUUAGAGACCAGACAGCUGCACUUAAGCUUGCUAAGCUACCCAUUUAUUCCUUCUAUUCGUUGAUUAUAGGAACAACACAUGCGUUCAUCAUACAAACCUGCAGCUUAUGUGCGAUAGGAUGGACUCGACAUAAAAAAAGUUUCUCUUCGGCUGCUCUGAUUUUGAGCCAAGACCCUUGGGAGUUUGUCUGGCCUCAUUGUCGACAGUGUGCAUCAGUUAGUUAUGACCUCAUCUCUUCAGUGAGAUUUUUUCCUCCAUGAAGGUUCCUCCUUACAUUGGGUUUAUUAUCCUAUUACGCGUGCUUGAUUCUACUUGAUAUUUUUGCCAUGGUGGAUUUCCGUAUUGUUCUGCAGGAUAUCCCUGACGAUCACAGGGAACGGUCCAACCAAAAGAAAAUAGUUGUAUCAACCUGCAUUUUUGCAGCCUGCGAAGCGUAAAUGUUGGACUAUUGUUUCUCCCCUGAUGCACAUGUUUCGCCACACAGACGAUAUAGUGUGUGUGUGUGAGCUCUGGAAUUAGUUUUUAGGUUAUUCUGUGUGUUGAGUACUUCUGUAAUUUCCAUGGGCGUGUUUCAUAUUUUCUGUGUAUUGUCUAUCAUUCUUUCAAGUGUUUAAUGUUUUUUUUGUAGUUUUUGAUAUUUAGUUUCAGUCAUGUUUCAUUUGUCGCAGACCUACACCUAUUAGGAAGCACAUAGUUUCAUUUUGAUCAUGUUUCUUUUAGUUGUUCAGUGUUUGUUAAUUAAUGUAGCAGAGUAAGCAGUACAUUUUGGCCAUUAGUUAAAUCACUCAUGUCACAUUCAGUUGAUUAGGUUCAGUUUUUGUUCCUUCCUUCUUCGUUCCUUCAGUUUUUUGUUCCUUUAUUUAGUCAUUGUGCUUGCAUCAUUUGCCGGUAUUUAAGUCAAUAUAACUAUUUAGUCCAUCUCAAUAGACCCUUAUGAUUCUUGAUAGUUUCUCUCUUUCAUAGAUCAGACUUUUCCGCUUUUUCAGUUAGGCUAAUUUAUGCUUUCUUUUUCAGUUUUCAGUCUUCACUUGAUUUAGUUGGACAUUGUGUUCAGUAUUUCAAUAGUUCAGUAGUUUCAUUGAUUGAUAUGUGCAUUUUCGUACUUAGUGAAGCAUCUUAAUGCAUUUUUGUACUUUGUGAAGCAUCUUAAUUUGAUCGAUAUGUGCAUUCAGUUGAGAACUCUGAAGUCAGAACAACUGUGUUUGACUUCUUCAGAUGGUAAUUUUUAUCGGUUAGACUUAUAGUUACAAUUACUAGAAGUAGCAAAGGUCUGGGUUUGUUUAGAGCUUGAGUUGGUGCUUUUUUGUUUCAGAUCAUAUGUUGGUACUUCAUUUUACUCAGAUCAUAUGAAGGUGAGUGUAAUUGUGUGAUCUGGAUUAGGAUGCAAUGAAAUUCAGAAGUAGUAGAAGUACACUGUUUUUUACUUUCUUUCAGAACGAAUACUAUAGAAGUACACCGCUGCCUGGUAAAUUAUUGCCAUGGCCUCAAUGGCAGAUGUGUACCUGAUAGUGAUAUAUCCUACGAGUACCGGAUGGUUGACAUCCUUACCUGACAGGUAUAGAUUAUACAUAGUAGCCUAGCAGUGCAUGGAAAAACUAGGUUCGGUCUGAAGUCUGAACCCCUGAAGAAGCAAAAGCCAAAAAACAGAGAUCAGACGACUAAAUACAAGAGUGCAUCUUCUCCUUUUUUGUCUUUUUGUUGAGUGGAAUGCAUCUUCUAACCUGGCUGUAGGCUAUAAUCAACUCAAUUUUGUUUUCUCCAUGUGAUAGCCAGGUAGGCGGCUACGUGGUAAAAUAAGCUCAACUUUCUUUUAAUAAAUCUGGAUCAUGUCUUUAGAGUGUAGAGAUGCAACAUCAUAUACGUACAAGGAAUGGUCGACGACCACUUUUACAAUCAUCUUUUUUGUUUGUGAAAUCAGAGCUUCUAUUAUUACAACUGCACGCUCCAGUCAUGCUGAAUACAUGGGAGCAGUACAUACAGUAGAAGGAGAUACAGAUUAAAGCUAUGCUCCUCAUUCAACUUUUGCCACACUCGUUCAGUAAUCAGUACAACUCAUUCUGCUUCAGAAUGGAAGCGUCGAACGGCUAGCAGAACCGAGGCCGCUGGGACACCGUCGCAUUGAGGUAGUGCCAUGGCCGUAGGAGCUGAUGUUGCAUGGGCAGCGCCGCGGCCGCAGGAUCGCUGUUGUGUAGUGCAACAGCCUCCGACUCGGUGUUGCGUGAUGGAAGAGCAGUGGUCAAGUUCGACGGCAUUGAAGCGAGAUGUGAGAUCCCAGCGCUCCAAAUGACGAGUCGUGGCCGGCGGAGGGCUAACAACCGGUGGUGGAGGGUGAUUCUGAGAAAUCAUGAGCUUUUUCCUUCUAUGAGAAGUGAUAAAGUUACAACAUAGUUUGCUCAGUGGUGUGCAUCAGUGCAGAUUGAGCAAGGCACAAUCUAAGAAGAAAAACACAAAAUUAGAAACAGUGUGCAUCAUAUGAAUGUUGGUUGAGCGACGUUGUUGGGAGCCCGGUUGUGGCACAGCCCUUCGGCGUGGUGCCCUCUUGCAUUGCCGCUAUGGUCGCCUUGCGUUGGACGGGAGGAGAUAAGUCAAUCCCCAAUUAAGAUGCACAAUUAAGAUCCCUAACUAAACUGGCAACAUCAUUAUUGAAGGGAAAUGAUUGGAUGACAAACUUUAUAGGUUUAGUAUCAUAUCAUUCAUUUGUGACUGCAUGAUCUUAAUUGUGCAUCUCUGAA
Aegilops tauschii subsp. strangulata is the source of this 2873-nucleotide long non-coding RNA. RefSeq lists it as uncharacterized. The record is from RefSeq and is a predicted model, not a curated record. NCBI's taxonomy places the organism in Eukaryota, Viridiplantae, Streptophyta, Magnoliopsida, Poales, Poaceae.